Molecule: long non-coding RNA, 2267 nt
Filed under: Amborella trichopoda
Lineage: Eukaryota; Viridiplantae; Streptophyta; Magnoliopsida; Amborellales; Amborellaceae
Description: long non-coding RNA (ATRI_LNC001681)
Source: RNAcentral
GUGAAAGAAAAGAACCCCUCACGUUCUCCUCUAUCUCUAUUUCAUUCCAAAUGAGAGAUAUCUCUCUAUUUCAUUCCAAAGGAGAGAUAUUCUCCUAUUAAUUUUUACUAAGGUUAUCUUGGGAAUCAAGAUCAGAAGCAUUGCUAGUAGGUUGAGGAGCCAGAAAAGGUAAGUUUCUUUUAUUUUCCUUUUUUUUUCAUAAGUUAGGUUUUUUUCUUUUGAUGGUUUCCUUGCCUUAAUUAUAUGCUGCAAGAUUGUCUGUUUUUUUUUCUCCAAUGAAUAUGGUUGUUUCUUGUCAAAAAUGGUCUUCUAAAACGGACAUGCUGUCACUUGCCAAAAUAGCUUUUUUUUCUUUUUUUUUUCUUCAACGAACAUAGCUGAAUCCUACCAAUUUUUUUUCAUUUUCUUCUUCAACGGGUACGACUGUUUCUUGCCAAAAUUACUUGAUCAUGGGCUGCAUGCUCUAACAGCUAUGUAACGGGUAGGUGCCUUAUUCACUAGUUAUUUUUGUUGCCAUAAAGUAAUAUAAACAAAGCUUGUAAACACUGCUGUAUGAUUAGAAAAUCAGUCUUUCAAUUUUUUCCCCCCUUCUGAGACACUGUGUAUUCUCCUCUCCUGCUCAUAUAUAUGAUUUUCAUUACUGUUUAGUAUCCUAAGAUAAUAGAGAGUUGUCUUUUCUGGUGUUUCAUAAUCUGUUAAUCUUUUUUCUGUUUCACUACGAUUUAAUCCAUAUCAUUUUUUCCCCAAAUCUAGAGAGAGAAAAUAAUUUACUUGAACACCAUAUAUUGAUGUUUGUUAGCAAUUUGGGUUUUUUUUUUUUUUUGAUAAGAAGAUUUGGAAGAACUAUUGAUUGACCUGAAAUCACAUCGAGGUUUCUUCAAUUCACCGGUUGUUUCAUAUUUUUCUUGAGCUCUAUUCUUGAUUGUCCAUACUAUCGCCCGGUGAGAUCACAUCUAUUAACUAGAUUUAUUUAUUUAUUGGUCUGUAUUUGUUGUUAUUUAUGGAUCCUAAUCAAGAAUUGAAGAUAUAAAGACUCAAUUGGUCGAAUUAUAAUACAUGGAAAAGAAGAUUAGCUUUGAUUUUAGAGCAUGAAAUUUCAGAUCAAAUUAUUUCAACUGUAGUUCCUAUUGAACCCACUGAUGUUAGCAAUACAGGAGGAACAUUAGCUUAUGCUAAUUGGGAAAAAGAAAAUAAGAGAUGUAGUAACAAAAUUUUGAGAAAUAUGGAUGAUGAAUUAUUAUUGAGUUUUGACGAAUUUAAAAAUGCUAAAGAUAUUUAUGAUGAAUUGAAGAUACAAUUUGGGGUAACUUCAAUGAGUAAUUUAAAAGUUUUGACUCAAGAGUACUAUUCUUUUAAGAUGAAGGAAAAUGACUCUGUUGUUGAACAUAUUAGAAAAAUGAUUUUGUUGGGCAAACAACUUAUAAGUGUUUGUUAUGCUUUGAAUUAUCAACAACAAAUUUUAACUAUAUUGAAUAGUUUGCCUAAUUCUUGGGAAUCUGUUGUGACUACUUAUCUUUAAACCGCAAGGAUCUUGCGCUUCAAAAUCUUGCUGUUGAAUUGAAAUCUGAAGAGGAUCGUAGAUCUUCAAGGAGGGCUGAUGCACUUCACAUUGCUUAAUCUCAAAACCCUCGAAUUAUAAAAUCCUCUAAUAAAAGAAAACCUUAUCAACUUUGGAACAAUAAUAAAAAGCAAAAUGUUGAAAAUAAAAACAAGAAGCUUAUGAACAAUGGACCCAAGGGGACAUGUUUCAUUUAUGGGAAGAUGAGACACUUUAAAUCCCAAUGCUCAAACAAAAGGAAAUUCAAGACACCCAACCAAGGUCGUGACUACUUGUGUGUAGUAGUUACUUGUUUAAUAGCUAAUGUGUCUAUUGAUGAUUGGUAGAUGGACUUUGGGGCCACUAAACACAUAUCCAGGUCUAGAGAGGGCUUUGUGGAACUUAAAGAGCUUAAAGUUGGGGAACAUAUCAUCUCCAUGGGCAAUGAUUCUAAGACUGAUGUAUUGGAUAUUGGCACUUAUUAACUAGCGUCUCAAAUGGGAACUUCUUCCUCCAUUAUGACACUCUUUAUGCGCAUUCCAUGUGUUGUAACAUGUUGUCAAUCAAGAGACUUGAUGCCAACAGAUAUGAAGUUCGUUUCAAGGAUGGGAAAGUUUCAAUUGGGAUUAAUAGGAAAAUCAUUGUAUGGGGAAAAGCUCGAAGGGAUAUGUAUUUACUUGAUAAAAUGAAUGAAAUUUCAUCUUAUUCUGCUUACUUGAAUGUGUGUGAU